GCUCGAGUGGCGGAAUGGUAGACGCAAGGGACUUAAAAUCCCUCGGGAGCAAUCCCGUGCUGGUUCAAGUCCAGUCUCGAGCA
RNAcentral lists this transfer RNA (83 nucleotides) under Mesomycoplasma conjunctivae. RNAcentral's name for it is "Mycoplasma conjunctivae tRNA-Leu". It matches the Rfam family "tRNA". Rfam says of the family: Transfer RNA (tRNA) molecules are approximately 80 nucleotides in length. Their secondary structure includes four short double-helical elements and three loops (D, anti-codon, and T loops). Further hydrogen bonds mediate the characteristic L-shaped molecular structure. tRNAs have two regions of fundamental functional importance: the anti-codon, which is responsible for specific mRNA codon recognition, and the 3' end, to which the tRNAs corresponding amino acid is attached (by aminoacyl-tRNA synthetases). tRNAs cope with the degeneracy of the genetic code in two manners: having more than one tRNA (with a specific anti-codon) for a particular amino acid; and 'wobble' base-pairing, i.e. permitting non-standard base-pairing at the 3rd anti-codon position. The record is from RNAcentral. RNAcentral also lists the same sequence under 1 other name. Lineage: Bacteria; Bacillati; Mycoplasmatota; Mycoplasmoidales; Metamycoplasmataceae.